This is a long non-coding RNA of Oncorhynchus nerka (sockeye salmon), 8937 nucleotides long. RefSeq lists it as uncharacterized. Lineage: Eukaryota; Metazoa; Chordata; Actinopteri; Salmoniformes; Salmonidae. The record is from RefSeq and is a predicted model, not a curated record. The transcript is spliced from 3 exons.
UUUAUUUUUUAUUGCGUUACAGCGUUUCUUAAAGUAUGGGUCGCGGGCCUGUUAAUGGUGGGUCGCGACGUAAAUUUAUAAUUACUUCAUUAAUUAUUGGAAUUGAUUUGGCAAAGUGAACUGCGCUUUCGGUUCAGUGCGCUCUCUGUUUAGCGGUGGUCUCUGCUCAGUUUGGCAGCUGCGCAAGUGGGAGAGGGAGAUACCCGUGUGCUUCGCGGUUUACCGGAUAUUUUUUUCUGCAGUUUUCUUGAAGAUCACUCCGCGACCCACACACUGCAGCGCUGUUGUUCAAGCCACUGACUAGUUAUUCCCGCUCGGCAUCGCUCACCGCUGUCGUGCUAGCCACAAGUUCUGACUGAGCCCAAUCGUCAUGAAACGCAAAUACAGUGACGACUUUGUCUUUUUCAUACACAUUUUGAGAAAUAACGAGGAGCGCCCACAAUGUGUUUUGUGAGGGAAAGUGCUUAGUAAUGAGUCUCUCAAAACGAACAAGUUAAUAAAACGACACGCUCCUGGCCAAAUAUCCAGGUACAACAUGACGGUAAACCAAGAGAGUUCUUUCAGAACGGGGCAGAACGCUUCGAAAGUGGAAAAAUAAGUAAACUACCAAGGCAUUGUUGUCAUUUUAUAACAGGUUAUGAUAAGCAGAAAUAAGGGAGUCCUAUCUUAGUAGAUGUGAGUUUAUCUUUCAAGCAAUCCUCGUUAGUCAAAGCAAGCUAGCUAACUACGGAUGGUGCACCCCUAAGAAACAGUACAGAUGAAGAUAAAUUAUCAGGCCUACUGUACAUUUUACUGUAGAAAUUAUUAUUGAAAACAAGUCUAGGUUGGAACUGUUUGCUGUUGAAAAUACAAGUAAUAAUUUUUAUUCUGAACUGGGAGUAAACUGAUAGAAAGCAAGAUGCUUUUUGAGGCGACCACACACAGUUCUGGGUUGCUCAUCUACAGUAGGAAGCGGUCUCCUGCCUGACUGAGAAAGCAGUAGAUGUUCUGAUCCAGUUUGGCACCACAUACCUCUGCAAGUCGGGGUUCUCAAGUACAGAAACAGUGUCAAUGCUGAGCAUGAUCUCAGUGUUUCACUGUCAAAAACAGCCCAGAAUAGACAUGCUUGUUGAAAACUUCAACCAGCCCACACACCUCUCAUUAGGACUGUGUGUGUAUAUGUGUUUUCUGGGCUACAUCUAUGUGAUGUGAUCAAUCAGUUCAUUCCAGUUCAGAACUAAAUUAUUUAUUGUAUUUUAACAGCAACGGUUCCAACCUAGACAGGUACACUACCGUUCAAAAGUUUGGGGUCACAUAGAAAUGUUUUUUUUUUUUUAAAGAAAAGCACAUUUUCUUGUCCAUUAAAAUAACAUUAAAUUGAUCAGAAAUACAGUGUAGACAUUGUUAAUGUUGUAAAUGACUAUUGUAGCUGGAAACUGCUGAUUUUUAAUGGAAUAUCUACAUAGGCGUACAGAGGCCCAUUAUCAACAACCAUCACUCCUGUGUCCAAUGGCACGUUGUGUUAGCUAAUUCAAGUUUAUAAUUUUAAAGGGCUAAUUGAUCAUUAGAAACCCCUUUUGCAAUUAGGUUAGCACAGCUGAAAACUGCUGUUCUGAUUAAAGAAGCAAUAAAACUGGUCUUCUUUAGACUAGUUGAAUAUCUGGAGCAUCAGCAUUUGUGGGUUUGAUUACAGGCUCAAAAUGACCAGAAACAAAUACCUUUUUUUCUGAAACUCAUCAGUCCAUUCUUGUUCUGAGAAAUGAAGGCUAUUCCAAUGCGAGAAAUUGCCAAGAAACUGAAGAUCUCCUACAACGCUGUGUACUACUCCCUUCACAGAACAGCUCAAACUGUCUCUAACCAGAAAAGAAAGAGGAGUGAGAGGCCCCGGUGCACAACUGAGCAAGAGGACAAGUACAUUAGAGUGUCUAGUUUGAGAAACAGACGCCUCACAAGUUCUCAACUGGCAGCUUAAUGAAAUAGUACCUGCAAAAAAAACAGUCUUGACGUCAACAGUGAAGAGGCGACUCCGGGAUGCUGGCCUUCUUGGCAUAGUUCCGAAACCGAUAUGAUGGCUGGUUACACAAAGAAAGGGAGGUGGGUUUGAAUGAAAGAGCGGGAAAACUGAGGAACAAAAGGAUUGGGUCUCUAUCGGACCUUAUAAAGCCAUGCUAUCGUAAAUACAGAAUCUUAUGCAUUCAAAAUAACCGCCCAUUCGGAAAAGGAAAAUGCAAGAAAUAUAUUUACUCUGAGCUGCGCUUCGAUAGAUUGGUCGAAGAUGGAGGGCUGGGUUGCCCAGCUGAGAUCUCCCUUGUCCUUUGAAGAAUAUUUCUGGGCGGAUACGUUGUAGUCUGUUGUUGUGUGGUAGAAUGGAUACGUUGUAGUACCCUGUCGUUCUGAAGAGAUUGUCCGUCCUUUCCUAGGCCAUGCACGUUUACAGCUGCAGCUGAUAACUCAACAUCUAGGAUGUAUCACUUCUUUAGUGAACAAAAGUUCAAUGUUCAUACCAAGUUGCCAUACUCAACUCAUGCUAUAUUCUGGCUGGUGUAGUCAAAAUUAAUCCUUCCAGCGUGGCGAUCUUCACCUCCACGUUGAAAUUAGCCCUUUUAAAUGUAUGGACAUCAAUCCUCACGUCAUCGGGAACACAAUGAUCAUUUCGUUAGGUUGUAGUCAUUCAACCAUAGAGCUGUGGUUGGCUUAGUCUGCCGUGAAUUGGGUCACGGGGGCUCUUAUAGAAAUGUAGAAACGGGGUUGGUUCAUAAUUUCCAACCAAUACCUAUUUACUUGGGCGUGGCCACUGCGUGAGCAUAUUUUACUUGUGAAAACAAUUAUCUCAUUUUAAAAACUCAAAUUACAUUAAAUCUUUUCACAAAUAGUAUCAUAUUUAAACAUUUCAAUUGCACAACAAUUUCAUGUGAAUCCAAUAACUAGAAUGUGUAGACUUUCCAAGAUACAAUUUAUGUCGUCCUCUCAUCAGUAAUAAUGUUUCAGACAACAACUGAUCUGACAUCAUAUUCUUUAAGUACCAACAGAUACAUUCAACUGGUUGGAUUCCAGAAAUAUUGUUCCGUUCCCAACCUUUUGAUGUUACCAUACUCUCUCUAUGUUAACAAAGGGCUUUCCAAGAGUCCAUUCAGUAGAGUAGAGAGAGAAAAGGGGAAAGGUAUUUAUGGGGGGGUCAUAAACCUCACCAACAGGACAACGUCAUGACACCACCUGGGUUCGGCCUGUCAGAAAGUCCAGGAUCCAGUUGCAGAGGGAGGUGUUCAGACCCAGAGUCCUAAGCUUGGUGAUGAGCUUGGAAGGGACAAUGGUGUUGAACGCUGAGCGGUAGUCAACAGCAUUCUCACAUAGUUAUUCCUCUUAUCUAGGUGGGUGAUGGCAGUGUGGAGAGCAAUUGAGGUUGAAUCAUCUAUGGAUCUGUUGGGGGGGUAUGCAAAUUGGAGUGGGUGUAGGGUGUCUGGGAUGGUGGAGUUAAUGUGUGCCUUAACCAGCCUCUAAAAGCACUUCAUGAUUACAGAAGUGAGUGCUACAGGGUGGUAGUCAUUGUGUCAUGAAGCUUUAGAGUUAUUGGGGACAGGAAUGUUGGUGGUCAUGUUAAAACGUGUGGAUUACAGAUUGGGAGAGAGGAGAGGUUGAAAAUUACAGUGAAUAUGCCUUCCAGCUGUUCUGCGCAUGCUCUGAGAACACGCCCUGGAAUACUGUUGGGCCCCGUGACCUUGUGGGUGUCAACCUGAUCAAAGAACUUUUUUACGUUGGCCUCAGAGCGCGAGAUCACCCAAUCCACUGGGUCGGUGACGGCCCUCACACCCGGCACAAUUUUGUUGUCAAAGCGUGAAUAAAUUGCAUUGAGUUGGUCUGGUAGAGAGGCAUCGUUGGGCAGAUUGGGUCUUCCUUUGUAAUCUGUAAUGGACUGUAGCCCCUGCCACAUGCGGCAGGCAUCAGAGCCUGUGUAAUAUGAUUCCACCUUAUUCGUAUAUUGUACUUUUGCUCCUUUGAUGACUCUGUGGAGGUCGUAUCGGGACUCCUUGUACUUAUUCCUGUCCUCAGGGUUGUUUGCGAUAGCCCUGUGUGCGGUAACUCUGUCCUUUAGUUUAGCGCCAACCUCUGUGUUAAUCCAGGGCUUUUGAUUGGGGAAGCAGCGAACUCUCACCUUGGGGACAAUGUUGCCGAUACAUGAAGCCGGUGACUGAGGUGGUUAGCUCGACAAUGUUAUCAGCGGAGUCUCUAAACAUAUUCCAAUCAGCGCUAGCAAAGCAGUCCUGUAGCAUAAUUUCUGAUUCUGGUGAUCAUUUCUCAACGGAGCAAGUCACGGGUACUCCCUGUUUGUGUUUCUGCUUGUAAACAAGAAGCAGUAGUAUGGAGUCAUGAUCUGAUUUGCCGAAUGGGAGAUGAGGGAGGGCCUUGUAUGCUUGCUAGUGGGUAGAAUAAGAGUGGUCUAUGACUUUAUCGUCCUUAGUGGCAUUGGAGACGUGUUGAUGGAAGUUGGGCAUCACGUGACUUGGUGACGUGGAAUUUAAAUCGCCGGCAACCAGAAAGGCAGCCUCUGGAUGUAGAUUUUCUUGCUUAUUUAUAGCCUUGUACAGUUCAUUAAGUACCAGCUUGUUAUUUUCCAUGUCCUGAGGUGGAAUGUAAUACAACAGUCACGAUAACAGCUGAAAAGUCCCUCGGGAGGUAGAAGGGUCAGCAUUUGACCAUCAAGUAUUCCAAGAUGGGUGAACAGUGGAUCGACAUUUCCACCGCGCUGGAGUUAGCACACCAGUUGGUGUUGAUGUAAUCCCCUCCUCGGUUUCCCAGACUCCACUGUCCUGUCUGCCCUGUGAAUGGAGAAUCCAUUGAGUUGGAUAGUCAUGGGUGGUAUCUUGUCCGAGUCAUGUUUUAGAAAAGCAAAGAAUAUUGCAGUUUCAAGAGUCCCGUUGGUAGCAAAUUCGCGAUUGGAGGUUCUCCAUCUUAAUAUCGAGUGACUGUACAUUGACUGUCCACCCAAAGACAUCCAGCCAAUUUGACACAACUGUGGGAAGCAUUGUAGUCAACAUGGGCCAGCAUCCCUGUGGAACGCUUUCAACACCUUGUAGACUCCAUUAGCCGACAAAAUGAGGCUGUUCUGAGGGCAACUCAAUACUCCCAAUUAAGUUAGCCUUAGUGACAGAGUCUCAAACUACAGCCACCAGGGAACUUCAGGAAAAGAAGGUAGAGGGACACAGAGUCAGAGUGGAGUUAGAGGGAAUUUUGGUGGUAAUAACAGCGGGAAUGUGGGUUCCCUGAGUCACACUUCUGGUAAAGUUAGCAGUAAGGGCAGAUUAUCACACAACAGCCAUCAGGGAUCGUCAGGAAAAUAAUGCAGGGAAUCGUUGCGUGAGGGGGGAAUCAGUACGAAUGCCGGUUCUCUAGUGGAGAGGAUGGAGUCCCCUGAAUAUGGGUGUAAGAGUAUGAUUAAGGGAUAGACAGGACCUGGCUCCUAUAAUACAGCUAGUUGUGGCUGUGGUAGUAUGGCUGACGGACAGGCAAGGCAGAGCUGUAGGUGUAGUUGUACAUCUGAAGGCCAGGAACAGUGAACCUACCCCAUCUGAAGCAGACAACUCUCAGACAAGGACAGGGAUAGAGCUCCUAGUUGUGUUUAAUGGAGGACACCUCCAUACUGCUGGUGGACAUCAGCCCCAGAGCUCUGAAAGACUCAGAACACCUGGUAGGGACAGACUAUACAGAGAAAGAAUGGUACACUCUUUUAUGUUGACCUCACAUUUCUCUCAGGGAUAGUAAUUGCUUGAUUGAUUGGCUGAUUAAAUGAUUGAUUGACUGCUUUCCCAGCCAAGGUGAUCUCACCUGUGUGUACAUGGAUAGCCCCUUCGCUUCCUCUCGGGGUAGGAGGAGCCCCAGUCCUGCCAAUGACUCCGCCUCUCCACCAACCGCCUGUCAACAAGGUGUUGUCAAUGGCAACCUGGGAAGCCUUUUUACAGCUGUAGAUGAUGAGGACAAGUGUUCUUCCACCAAUCGUCUACAGAGGCUGCUUGCUGAGUCUCAUCAGAUGGUGGCUAGCUCAGAACGUACAACCCUACAACCUCUAAGCCCCUUCCACAGCCUAGCUUCUAACGCUGUGACGCUGUCAUUAGCCUCAGCAUCAGCCACGAUAGUGGAAACAAUAACCAUGGAAACCUCAGUUGGAACCGUGACAGAUAAAGUCAAAGCAAUCCCAAUCACUACCUCAACCAGAGCUCCACCCACACCCAACUUUUUUGAUUGGCUCCUAUUGUAUGUGCUUUUUUUCCAGAACCAGGGACAUGGCAAUGGGCAGUGAAUGAAUAAAAUUAAACUCCUUUUUUAGAAAACCAAAGGACUUAUAUUUCUUAUGGUCAAAGGUAUUUUUUGACAAAUUGUACCAGUCAAGUAUGAACACACCUAGUCAUUCUGUAAUGAAUACUCGGGGAGAAAAAGGUGUAGAUUCACGUGCAGAGCGUGGCAGGUGUUUUAUUUCGCCUUCGCAGAAGGCAUCAAUCGUGGUCACAUGCAGGAAAUGGUCAUACACAGGUAGGCAAACAGGUAGGUGAAUCAAACUAGGACUGAAGGCUAUAACUGGUUCUCACAAACGAGCUAGGAAAAGGCUUAGUACAGUCAAAACAAACUACCUCACAAUACCAAACAGAAUGAACUGAACUAAAUAAGGAGCUGAUGAGACUAGGUGAGUAACUAACACAGGUGAAAUCAAUGAACAAAAAUUAAAGACGGCUACGUUCAAGAACACAAUGAAACAGAACACAAGGUUGACUCAUAAAAUAAAUACAGAACCUUACACAUUCCAGGGUUUUUCUUUAUUUUUUACUAUUUUCUACAUUGAAGAAUUAUAGUGAACACAUCAAAACUGAAAUAAAACACAUGGAAUCAUAUAGUAACUAAAAAAAGGUUCAACAUAGUCCCGGACUUGAACCCCAUCAAACAUCUCUGGAGAGACCUGCAAAUAGCUGUCCCCAUCCAACCUGACAGUGCUUGAGAGGAUCUGCAGAGAAGAAUGGGAGAAACUUCCCAAAUACAGGUGUGCCAAGCUUGUAGCGUCAUACCCCAAAAGACUUGAGGCUGUAAUUGCUACCAAAGAUGCUUCAACAAAGUACUGAGUAAAGAGUCUGAAUAAGUAUGUAAAUUUGACAUUUCUAUUUUAACAUUUUUAUAAAUUAGCAAAAAUGUCUAAAAACAUGUUUUUGCUUUGUCAUUAUGGGUAUUGUGUGUAGAUUGAUGAGGAAAAAACAUUUAAUCAAUUUUAGAAUAAGGCUGUAACCUAACAAAAUGUUGAAAAAGUCAAGGGAUCUAAAUAGUUUUCGAAGGCACUGUACACCACCUAGUGUAUCCUUACCUUCAAUAUCCUAUUAUGUUAACUUAUGUAACAUGUUACAUCAAAAUACUUUAUCCUGUAGACACUCCUUUCUAGUAUGAAUAAGUACAUGGAUUCUUUCCUCCCCAGCACAAGGUUAUUCCAGGUGACCUGGAGAUCACAGACGAGACGGUGGAGAAAGAGGUAGGGAUUGACGCAACAAAAUGUGAGUUUCUGUCCCCUCUGACAAAAUAGUAAUUAGCAGCAUACUGUACCCCCAAACUCCUAUAAUAUUAUGGAUGCAAAUGUCUUUCUCAACACCAAAUCGGGGGUUGUCGAGUUGUUUCUGAGGUGAGCUACGUUUGCAGGUGUUAAGUGUUCUCUGUAACACUAUAAGGGGUUCUCUUCUCUAUAGAUUUGAUAUUACUCAGGGGCUGCUAGAUUACUUGGAUGCUACCUCUGUCCCAGCACAAAUCCUUUCCCCUUCCAAAUAACUCCGUAGAACUCACCAAGCCACCCUCCACUUCGAGGAAACCUUCCAUCAUCCACAAAACAGGAACCCUGUUCAGUAAGUUCCAAAGACGUGGAACAGAGGAAUCCUGACUCCGGAAUGUUAGAAUCCUGACUCUGGAGUAAGAAGAUUCUACCAGUCUGGAUACCUUAUCAUACCUGUAACAUCACCUGUGUACAUAAUGGUUAAUAAUAAUAUUAUGAUUAAUUACUCAAAUAAUUCUUAAAAUGUGCUAAUUUAUAUGACUUUACUCGCUUUAAUCUAAGAAUGUGUAUUAUCUUUCUACUUGAAAGAGCAGUCAUCUCUUAUGAUGCAGUGCUUUAAUGAUGAAUGGUGUCUAAACCAACAUCCCAAUGCCUUGUCCAAAUGCCUUCAAACUGCUUGAAUAGGCAACGUGAUAACAUGAUAACGACCAAUCAAUGUACAGCUGACCUAUUAGACAGAUAAAAACUUUACAUAGUUCCUUGUAUGUGAGUAGACUUACUUUACAUAGAUUUUGAUAUUUGUUACAUUUAUUUAGAUAAACAGACAUUUUAAAUAAAUAUAUACAUUUACAUAUGUCCUGAAGUGUAGAUUUAGUCUUUGUGAUUGACAGGAGAAAUGACCAGUGGGGCUUUAUUGCGACUGUGAUUGACCCCUGGGCUGAAGUAUGGAUUGAGUGUGUCAGCAAAGUUUGUAUUCGUAUUUAUUAUGGAUGUAUUUGUCACGCCCUGAUCCGUUACACCUGUCUUUGUGCUUGUCUCCACCCCCCUCCAGGUGUCACCUAUCUUCCCCAUUAUCCCCUGUGUACUUAUACCUGUGUCUUCUGUUUGUCUGUUGCCAGUUCGUCUUGUUUGUCAAUCCUACCAGCGUUCGUCCUGUCAGCGCCUGACUUUGUCCCUGCAUCCCUUUUUCGCAUCCUCCUGGUUUUUUACCCUUGCCUGUCCUGACCUUGUACCUGACCACCUGACCACUCUGCCCAUCCCGGACCCUGAGCCUACCUUUGCUCCACCUCUGGAUUACUGAACUCUGCCUGACCCUGAGCCUGCUUGCCAUCCUGGACCUUUACUCCACCUCUGGUUUACUGAACUCUGCCUGUCCCUGAGCCUGCCUGCCUUGACCUGUCGUUUGCCUGCCCCUGGUGUUACAAUAAACAUCAUUACUUCACACA